GGGAGCCGCAGAGAGUGAGCUGGCGCUCGGGAGUCGUAGGGGGGGGGCAAAGAGAGUGCUCGGGUCGCCCGGCUGACAGAUGAGUAACAAAAAAGAUACCUGCCUGUAAGACUGGGAUAACUCGCGGAAACGCGAGCUAAUACCGGAUAAUACUUAUGAUCUCCUGAUGAUAAGUUGAAAGGCGGCUUUUGCUGUCACUUACAGAUGGGCCUGCGGCGCAUUAGCUAGUUGGUGAGGUAACGGCUCACCAAGGCGACGAUGCGUAGCCGACCUGAGAGGGUGAUCGGCCACACUGGGACUGAGACACGGCCCAGACUCCUACGGGAGGCAGCAGUAGGGAAUCUUCCGCAAUGGACGAAAGUCUGACGGAGCAACGCCGCGUGAGUGAUGAAGGUUUUCGGAUCGUAAAACUCUGUUGUCGGGGAAGAACAAGUAUGAUAGUAACUGAUCGUACCUUGACGGUACCCGACCAGAAAGCCACGGCUAACUACGUGCCAGCAGCCGCGGUAAUACGUAGGUGGCAAGCGUUGUCCGGAAUUAUUGGGCGUAAAGCGCUCGCAGGCGGUUCUUUAAGUCUGAUGUGAAAUCUUGCGGCUCAACCGUAAACGUGCAUUGGAAACUGGAGGACUUGAGUGCAGAAGAGGAGAGUGGAAUUCCACGUGUAGCGGUGAAAUGCGUAGAGAUGUGGAGGAACACCAGUGGCGAAGGCGACUCUCUGGUCUGUAACUGACGCUGAGGAGCGAAAGCGUGGGGAGCGAACAGGAUUAGAUACCCUGGUAGUCCACGCCGUAAACGAUGAGUGCUAGGUGUUAGGGGGUUUCCGCCCCUUAGUGCUGAAGUUAACGCAUUAAGCACUCCGCCUGGGGAGUACGGCCGCAAGGCUGAAACUCAAAAGAAUUGACGGGGACCCGCACAAGCGGUGGAGCAUGUGGUUUAAUUCGAAGCAACGCGAAGAACCAUACCAAGGUCUUGACAUCCUUUUGAACCCUCUGGGAGACAGAGCUUUUCCCUUCGGGACAAAGUUGACAAGGUGGUGCAAUGAUUGUCGUCAGCUCGUGUCGUGAGAUGGUGGGAUUAGUUCCCGCAACGAGCGCACAUUGAAUCCUAAAUUGCCAGCAUUUAAGUGGGCCACUCCUUAACGGGUGGC
This 1147-nucleotide ribosomal RNA is filed under the name Oceanobacillus sp. COD 17. Its description in RNAcentral is "bacterial SSU rRNA". It matches the Rfam family "Bacterial small subunit ribosomal RNA", at positions 1 to 1152 of the family's 1533-position model. Lineage: Bacteria; Bacillati; Bacillota; Bacilli; Caryophanales; Bacillaceae. The record is from RNAcentral.